GAGGGUAUAGCUCAGUGGUAGUGUGCUCAGCAUUCAAGAGGUCCUGGGUUCAAUCCCCAGUACCUCCA
Molecule: transfer RNA, 68 nt
Filed under: Camelus bactrianus (Bactrian camel)
Lineage: Eukaryota; Metazoa; Chordata; Mammalia; Artiodactyla; Camelidae
Also listed under: 2 other names
Rfam family: tRNA
About the family: Transfer RNA (tRNA) molecules are approximately 80 nucleotides in length. Their secondary structure includes four short double-helical elements and three loops (D, anti-codon, and T loops).
Source: Rfam by way of RNAcentral